Orcinus orca (killer whale) is the source of this 2150-nucleotide long non-coding RNA. RefSeq lists it as uncharacterized. The record is from RefSeq and is a predicted model, not a curated record. Lineage: Eukaryota; Metazoa; Chordata; Mammalia; Artiodactyla; Delphinidae. The transcript is spliced from 2 exons.
UGGGCUCUAGAGCGCAGGUUCAGUAGUUGUGGCGCAUGGGCUUAGUUGCUCCGCGGCAUGUGGGAUCUUCCCGGACCAGGGCUCGAACCCGUGUCCCUUGUAGUGGCAGGCAGAUUCUUAACCACUGCGCCACCAGAGAAGCCCCUUUACUUGUCUUUUAUUUUCUGGUGAGGGUUUGUUUUUGUUCCCUCUUCCUUUGUCACUUUUCCAGCUUGAAAUACAUCCCUCGCUGUCAUUUUGCAAUUCUCAGAACUGGAAAGAAAACCAGUAGGAAAACAGAAAAAUGGCAUUAACCUGUUAUUAUCAUAAUUAUUGUUCCUUUUGUAUCAAAGUCUGGAGGAAGCAUCUAAUUGUAACUGGCCUUUGGGGACAGCAGUGAACAAGCAUAGUUUUUGUACAGAAAUGCCCUUGGUUCUUAGGAGGUUGAGGGUUUGACACCAAGAACCAUGGACACGCAUAUACAAUGGAAGUGACCAAAUGUCCUAAUUUUAUUGGAUUAAUUCUAACUUCUUUCUGCCUUUGAUCCCUCAUCCUUUACUAUGAGACCCUAGCCAGGUCUCUUGAGCUCUCUUGGCUUCCACUGGGGCUAAUAAGAUCUUACCUGAAGUCAGGGGCAGGACCACAUCAUCUCUGAAGGCCCCUGGGUACUAAGAGCUACAAUCCUAUGAAUACUCUUUAUUCAGAAGUCCCCCAAACAAAGUCACAAUCCAGCAUAAUUUUAGAACUCCCACUCUCCACAGAAGCAUUAUGAGAUAAGAAAACAGUGCUAAAGAAAGGAGAUAGUAUAUACAUCAGAAUACAGUUCUCUAAAAUGUGCAUCUCUGCGUCGGGAAGUUGUAGUGGGGGUUUCAUCUGCACUCUUUCCAGGUGGCCCCGGGACAGAGCAUUGAUGCUCUUUUGGAGUCUUAUGUGAACCAGGACUGUGCUGGGCACUUCGCGUAUAUUGCCAUUUAACGUUUGGAAGAAACGUGUGGUGCGCUUAUUUAUAGAUGAUGAAGCUGAAAUCCAGGAAGUUAACUAGCUCAAGCUAAGUGAUGGUAAAGGUGACCUUCAAACCUAGUGGGCCUGACACCAGAACUCACACUCUAAAUCACAUUUAAUGCUUGCCUGUGUAGACACCCGGACUCUUAUGUCUGUGAAGAGUUUGUUAGUGAUGGCUAGGUUCUGGGGACUUGAGGGUAAAAAAUAAAGCAGUAAAGAAUGUCACCUAACUGGAUGCCUAGAAGGCAGGGAACUCCCAUCGGGGUUUGGAGAGAGUGAAGGUGUGUGACCUCUCAUAGCACUCGGGUCUUGCCAUCAGGGAAGUUUUCUCAGGUGUUCUGGUCCUGACCUAUCUGUCUAAGGUGUGUCUAAGGUUGAAGGUUGAAGGAAGGAGCAUGUUCCUCUGAGGCAGGAACAUUCCUCUGGGAACCGCAGGGCGUGGUGGUGACGUGAGGACAUGGGCAGGCAGAGCAGCGACCGGAUGGACAGCAACAGUGGGGGAGCCAGACAGCCGUGGGAGCAGAGCCCUGCACAGCUGUGUGGGGGUGUGGAGGCCCGGGGGGCCGGGUGUGGAGAUCCUCAGAGCAGGCUGGGGCACACGGAGCCUAGUGCCACUGUGAUGCGUCACCUGUCCUCCAGGCUGCUGGGACUUGGGGAAAUGACUGUUACCAUGCAUGUAGAUGGAUCUGUUAUGUUUAGAACGUCUUCCUCCAAACUGGGCUGUCUAAAUGUACUCUUCUACUGCUAUAGCUGCCUUUCCAAAAGUCUCCUGUGCAGGAUGCAGGAAUCCAGACGUGGCUGACUGUUGCCGGGGGACUGCAGGUGGGGCUCAGAGAGCCUUCGGGUUGCCUGGCGCCGGUGAAGUUCCUCCCGCAGGAGGGCUGGCUCCAGGGGCAGUGGCCUCGCUAUACCCAGGCUGCUCGUGCAGACGGCCUCCCUGAGGUUCAAGCCAAGAAUAGGGAGUGACAACUGUGAGAACUCAAGCUUAGCUUUUUUUCCCAGCAAUUCUUUUCAAAAUUUUAAUUUUAGCAGUUUUUAAUUAUGUGAUGAAUACCUGCAUAUAUUCUCUGUACACAUUUAAGCAUUACAAAUAAAGUGGAAAUCCACUUUGACUGCCAUUCCUGAUUCCAUCCCCGUGGCUGAAUAAAAUAUAAGUUUAUUUUACAGAC